This 387-nucleotide long non-coding RNA is filed under the name Solanum tuberosum (potato). Its description in RNAcentral is "long non-coding RNA (STUB_LNC002352)". Lineage: Eukaryota; Viridiplantae; Streptophyta; Magnoliopsida; Solanales; Solanaceae. The record is from RNAcentral.
AAAAAUAUGGUGAUGACUAAGAAGAGGGUUUUGCACAGACUCCACGUACAACUUUCAAUUUGAAGUUGAAUACGGCUGAACAUGGAGUAAAUGAUGAGCAUGCAUAUCUAGACAGAUACAAUAAAUUUAUGCAUUAUCUACAAUAAGAUAAAAUAAACAGAGCUUGUUCCAUGUUGGACCUUUCCAUUCGUCAAUAUCAUACAGGACAUAGUUGUAAAUGUGUUCUUGUGAAUGACUCUUGAGAAGAAAAUCGCCAAUGCAGCUUUCAGAUUCAAAGAAAUGUAAGACCCUUCAAGAUUUCUUAACAUAGUUCUUCAUCCUAAGCGACAUCAAGAAACGUAGCCUUUUCUCGGCUCCCUAUGAAGAUAGUACUAGCAACAAUAAAAG